This 748-nucleotide ribosomal RNA is filed under the name uncultured Peptoniphilus sp. Its description in RNAcentral is "bacterial SSU rRNA". It matches the Rfam family "Bacterial small subunit ribosomal RNA", at positions 28 to 776 of the family's 1533-position model. Lineage: Bacteria; Bacillati; Bacillota; Tissierellia; Tissierellales; Peptoniphilaceae. The record is from RNAcentral.
GACGAACGCUGGCGGCGCGCUUAACACAUGCAAGUCGAGCGAUGAAAUUUCGACAGAUCCCUUCGGGGUGAAGAUGAAAUGGAUUAGCGGCGGACGGGUGAGUAACACGUGAGUAACCUGCCUUAGGCAUUGGGAUAGCCUCGGGAAACCGGGAUUAAUACCAAAUGAAAUCACAUAUGCACAUGCAUAAAUGAUCAAAGCUCCGGCGGUCUAAGAUGGACUCGCGUCCCAUUAGCUAGUUGGUGAGGUAACGGCCCACCAAGGCGACGAUGGGUAGCCGGCCUGAGAGGGUGAACGGCCACAUUGGAACUGAGAAACGGUCCAAACUCCUACGGGAGGCAGCAGUGGGGAAUAUUGCACAAUGGAGGGAACUCUGAUGCAGCGACGCCGCGUGAACGAAGAAGGCUUUCGAGUCGUAAAGUUCUUUUAUAUGGGAAGAUAAUGACGGUACCAUAAGAAAAAGCCCCGGCUAACUACGUGCCAGCAGCCGCGGUAAUACGUAGGGGGCUAGCGUUGUCCGGAAUCACUGGGCGUAAAGGGUUCGCAGGCGGAAAUGCAAGUCAGGUGUAAAAGGCAGUAGCUUAACUACUGUAAGCAUUUGAAACUGCAUAUCUUGAGAAGAGUAGAGGUAAGUGGAAUUUUUAGUGUAGCGGUGAAAUGCGUAGAUAUUAAAAAGAAUACCGGUGGCGAAGGCGACUUACUGGGCUCAUUCUGACGCUGAGGAACGAAAGCGUGGGUAGCAAACAGG